RNA transcript from Oreochromis niloticus (Nile tilapia), 1206 nucleotides. It is a transcript of the gene named CD276 antigen homolog, with no coding region annotated. The transcript is spliced from 4 exons. The record is from RefSeq and is a predicted model, not a curated record. NCBI's taxonomy places the organism in Eukaryota, Metazoa, Chordata, Actinopteri, Cichliformes, Cichlidae.
AGAAAAAAACCCGAUCUGUCAGCGUCUCAUUCACCCAGCGGUGCAGAAAGAGUUAAAUUACGUUCUCUACUGGAGUCCUACCUCAUGUGACAAAUAUGGCCAAUGUGAUUGGCUGUGCCUUUCAGGGAGCUCUGUUUAAUUUUAGCAGCGGCAAUCCUGCACUGCGAGGACCUGUAAGGAGGAGAGGAGGAUGGCGGCAAAAACGAAGAACCUGGAUAUAAGAAAGUAUUUUUCAAAGAAACCUCACCAUGGUCUUGGAGAAAAUCACUUGGCUUGACGACCAACUCCUCCCAUAAGCACCAAUCUCACUAAGGCAAGAGAUAAACAUCACAGCUGGACAGGACGUCACUCUGACAUGUCGAGCUCCAAACAACAACAACAUCAUAGCUGUAGAGUGGAGCAGAGCUGACCUGGGAUCAGAAUAUGUCUUUUUUUACCGGGAUGGACGUUUUGAUCCAGAUCACCAGCAUCCAUCUUUUAAGGACCGGGUGGAUCUGCAGGACAGACAGAUGAAGGAUGGAGACGUUUCUUUGAUUCUGAAGAAUGUGACGACUGCUGAUAGUGGAACAUACGAGUGUCGUGUUGAGAUGAAAACAAAUCGCAGGAAGAGAGCUAAUCUGGAGACUCCCAGCAUCUGCAACUUCACACUGAGUGUUGUUGCUCCUCCAGGUCAGACAGGAGGAGACGCAGAGGAUGGAGUCAGUAGAGGACGUCCUGGUCUGGUAGCUAUUCUCUCAGUCUUUGGUGUGAUUUGUGUUGUUGUGGCUGCUUUUGUGAUCAUUGGAAAACUGAAAACGUCAAAUUCAUCCUGAACAAAGUCCAGUCUGAAAAAAAGCUUGUUGCAAUUUGGGGUUUUUUUCUGUCUGCAGACAAACUUUUUUUUUUUAUUAGUUUUUUUUUUCAUCUCUCGUUAAGAAAUGAAAAUAUUUCUUCGCUGUUGUCAAGUGUUUCCUCUUACUUUACUUUGUACUUUACUGUUUAGUGCCCUGAGCUGACCCAUGCUGUGGUUUUACAGCUAGUGUUUUUUGCUGUUGUUGUUGUUGUUGUUGUUGUUAACUAUGAGGAGUCAGAUGAACUUCCUUCAAUGGAAAAUAAAUAAAACAUCUUUGUGACAUUUUUUUAUUAAUCUGUGAUCAACUUGUUUUGUCUGUUUUGGAUGUCAGCUAUAGUGCUGGAUACAUUAAAAUAUAUUUACUCUAAGCUUGA